UAGUCCACGCCGUAAACGAUGAUUACUCGCUGUAGACGAUACACAGUCUGUGGCUAAGCGAAAGUUUUAAGUAAUCCACCUGGGGAGUACGAUCGCAAGAUUGAAACUCAAAGGAAUUGACGGGGGCCCGCACAAGCGGAGGAACAUGUGGUUUAAUUCGAUGAUACGCGAGGAACCUUACCUGGACUUAAAUGUACGUUGCAUAGAUUGGAGACAGUCUUUUCUUCGGACUACGUACAAGGUGCUGCAUGGUUGUCGUCAGCUCGUGCCGUGAGGUGUCGGGUUAAGUCCCAUAACGAGCGCAACCCCUAUUUUUAGUUACCAGCACGUAAUGGUGGGGACUCUAGAAAGACUGCCUGGGUAACCAGAGAGGAAGGUGGGGAUGACGUCAAAUCAGCACGGCCCUUACGUCCAGGGCUACACACGUGUUACAAUGGUCGGUACAAAGGGCAGCUACAUGGCAACAUGAUGCUAAUCUCGAAAGCCGGCCUCAGUUCGGAUCGGAGUCUGCAACUCGA
RNAcentral lists this ribosomal RNA (518 nucleotides) under uncultured bacterium. RNAcentral's name for it is "bacterial SSU rRNA". It matches the Rfam family "Bacterial small subunit ribosomal RNA", at positions 791 to 1315 of the family's 1533-position model. The record is from RNAcentral.